Molecule: transfer RNA, 74 nt
Filed under: Mytilus galloprovincialis (Mediterranean mussel)
Lineage: Eukaryota; Metazoa; Mollusca; Bivalvia; Mytilida; Mytilidae
Rfam family: tRNA
About the family: Transfer RNA (tRNA) molecules are approximately 80 nucleotides in length.
Source: RNAcentral
UCCUCGGUAGUAUAGUGGUUAGUAUCCCCGCCUGUCACGCGGGAGACCGGGGUUCGAUUCCCCCCGCCGGGGAG